ACCAGUGUUGUAUCACGGACUGCCACAAUAGGCUUCCUAGAAUUACCUUGAAACAUUUGACAUUUUUAAGAGUUAUGUUUGAUGUGAACGUGUUCUUGGAGUUUAUUUGUUUUCGGAUUAAGUUGGGGAAGAAACCUUAGGCAAUAAAAACCAAUUUUGCGGUUUGAAAGCGACGCUUUCUACAACGUCAGUGCUGUUAGCAUGUUAGCUUUUUGACUUAUGGAGAAUAAAAAGGAGAAAACGUUUAAGUUUGUCGUGGUCGGAGGUGGCAUUGCGGGCGUAACAUGCGUGGAGCAGCUGUCAUCUCAGUUUCCAUCAGAGGCCGUGGCUCUUAUUACAGCAGGUCCCCACAUAAAGGCGGUGACCAACUAUAAACGGGUGUCCAGCAGACUGGAGGAGUUCGAUGUGGAGGAAAAGCCCUCCAGUGUUUUAAAGGAGAAAUUUCCCAACCUGACCAUCAUUCAUUCUGCUGUAAAAUCCCUCCGCACACACACACAUUGUUUGGAAACCACAGACGGUGGAGUGUUUGGUUACGAGAAGCUCUGUAUCUGCAGCGGUGCCCGUCCGAAACUCCUGGCCCAGGAGAACUCACACGUGCUCGGGAUCCGGGACACAGACAGCGCACAGGAGUUUCAGAAGCGGUUAUCCAAAGCUAAGAGAAUCGUCGUCGUCGGAAACGGAGGAAUCGCGUUGGAGUUGGUGUAUGAGGUGAGGCGCUGUGAGGUGAUCUGGGCUGUGAAGGACAAAGCCAUUGGAAACACCUUCUUUGACGCGGGAGCGGCGCAGUUCCUCAUCCCGUCGCUGGAGGCCGACAAAGAGCCGGCGGCAACGCCGUGCAAAAGGCAGCGCUUCACCACGGAGGAACCGGAUGCUGCGCACACCUUCACAGCCGAUGAAUAUUCCCGCGGGCAGAACCCCGGUCCCGUCGAGUCCGGCAGCGCUCUCGGCCCGGACUGGCAUCGAGGAAUCGAGCUGCGAGGAGCGGAGCAGGUGUCCCGCAGAGUUUCAGUGGCGUACCAGUGUGAAGUGGAACACAUCUUCACCUCAGAGGAGUUCCUCGUCUCCUCACAGCAAAGGCCAAAACCUGACACUGCAGGAUCCUGGCCGGUUUACGUCCAGCUGACCAAUGGCGAGACGUUUGGCUGCGACUUCGUGGUCAGCGCCACCGGGGUCGUCCCAAACACAGAGCCAUUUCUCCACGGCAACAACUUCUCAUUGGCAGACGAUGGCGGCCUUCAAGUAGACAACCACAUGAUGACAUCAGAGACGGAUGUGUACGCAGCAGGUGAUGUGUGCAGUGCAUGCUGGGAGCACAGCACACUUUGGCAGCAGAUGCGGCUCUGGACGCAGGCCCGUCAGAUGGGCUGGCACGCGGGCCGCUGCAUGGCGGCUGACGUCCUCUCCGAGCCGAUCGAUCUUGACUUUUGCUUCGAACUCUUCUCGCACGUCACCAAAUUCUUCAACUACAAGGUGGUCCUGCUGGGGAAGUUUAACGCACAGGGGCUGGGGUCCGACCACGAGCUGCUGGUUCGCUGCACCAAAGGCCGGGAGUACGUCAAGGUGGUCCUCAGCGGGGGCAGAAUGGUGGGGGCCGUGCUGAUCGGAGAAACCGAUUUAGAGGAGACGUUCGAAAACCUGAUCCUCAACCAGAUGGACCUGACGGCGUACGGAGAGGAGCUGCUCAACCCGGACAUCGACAUCGAGGACUACUUCGACUAACUGCUGUCUCCAAAGUCUGGAUAACCAUGAAGAAAGAGACAUUUAUUUUAUUAGUAAGUAGGUAAAAUGUUAAUGUUUUCAGGUCAGUAGGUCAAUUAAAUCCAUUACAAUUUAGUAAAAAACUAAAAGAAAGGCAAUAAUAUUGAAAACUUUUAAAUUAGAUGUUUUUGGGGGUUUUUAACCGAAGUGCUUGAUGACUGAGCCAAAAGUGGUUUUAAAAUGCAAACUCCUUACUUGAACUCAGACUACAUUUUUAUUGUUUUCCUUUGUUGAUUUACUUGAACUCUUGCGUAACAUGACCUUGUGUUUACCACAUCGGUGUCUUUGCAGCAGGAAGUCACUAACAGUGAGAGAGGUGUCUCCGCUGGCUGACCUGGGCUGGCAUAGUAACAAGGCUUUAUGUCUUCUGGGAAUUAUGGAAAAUUACUCAUACAUAUAAAUAGAAAAAAAAACAAAAAACAAGAGAAUAAUCUCAGGGCAUCUUUCCAGGUUGGAAAUAAAAUACCUUUUUGUGUGCAUGUGUGUGAGUGUGUGUGAAGAGAGCAACCUGUUAACUGUCAAGAGGGAGAGUCAACAGAGGCACGCGUUUGAAGAUCCAAUUAAAAUCCCCGUUCAUAUGGAGACGCUGGAUUAGAGCUGGUUUGGAGAGAACUCAAGAAGCAACCUAUUCAUUAUGAAGGUUGCUAAGUAACGAGGCAAUCAGGCCUGGCAUGCUGUGGAAGAAGAGAGAGGGUCAGCGAGUUUUAUCGCUGUCAGGGGAAUACAGCAGGGUUUUUAGUCUCCGUGCAGCAUUUUUCUUAAUUCAUUUUUGUUUGUUUUUUUUUUAGAUAUUUUGAAAGAACUCAUCAAUUUUCUAAACGAAUCCACCUGGAACCUGCAAGAUGGAGCCAUUUCGUCCCUCCGUCCAGAAGGAGAGACGAAACGGCUCAUUGCACAAUCUGCAAAUAUUUAACAUUUUUCAGUCUUUUUCUGAGAAGCUUUCUCAUUAAUCAAUGACCAGAAAAAGGUUGAGUUAAAGAGUGCAAACGUUUUCUGGAAGCCACAGUAGCUUCAGAGCUGAUGUGUAAUUCAUUCUGAUCCUAUUGGCUGAUAUGUGGGCGGAUAACCUGCUACUGCUCCUGACUCCAGAAGGUCCCUCGUGCACAAUUAAGACUUUAUGUUCUUUUUUUUUUUAUUCAACGGUUGUUUCAAGAGCCCUCUUUUGUUAGAUAAAACAAGUAACUGUGUCAUUUUAAUCAAGUCCUCUGAAAGAGGAAGAAAAAGGAGAAAUAUUUGUGUUUCUUUCUCAGAAUUUUGACUGCAGAUGAGCUCCUGGGAGCAACCAGCUUCAAGGACAGAGAUUGGCCCAAAUUCUGUUCCGGAAAGUCCUCUAAGACGCUAACACUGACACAAAUGCAAAUCUAAGAUACUAAUUUCUACCUGGUAGAAAUUGUGAAUGCAGUGGACUAUUCAUAAGAAAAAAGUAUUUAUUAUCAUUCUCUGCAUUUUGUACUUUUUUUCUGAUGGUGUAGUUCAUACAUUUUCAAUAAAAUGCAUUGAAGUUUGUGAUUGGAAAGUAGGAAAAGCAAGGUUUCCUCCAUUACCUUGACUCAAUGUCUUUGUCGGCACAGAUUCUGUGUUUUGAAAUCCAAAACGUUUGGUUAAUGUAGUACUACAUCUGACUAUCACAAUAUCAUACAACAAUAAAGAAAAUGCAUCCAUUCAUUCGUGAUUAAAGUUGAUCACAUUUGAAAGCGUCUCACAAGGAAAAGAUUAUAUGUAAAAUUAUCAGUGUGCCUGAAGCAACUCGUUUGGUGUAUUUUUUUUUUAUUCUGAAUGGGGGGCUGAUUUAUCAAUUUAUGUAGUUAAUACCAUUAAUAAUGUUUGGCCUUCAUCUCCAGAGCUUGUGGGCAUUGGGAGCCCUCAUGAACAAAAAAACAAAAAAAACAAAUAGUUUUUCUCCGUUGGAAAAGUAAUAGGAAAUAAGGCUGAUUUUUAGGGUUUGAUUGGAUGUAAGAGUUUUUAUCAAGGUUCUAUCAAUACAGUUCAGAUUGCUUUUAUGAGUUAUUCAUUUAAGGAAUCGUAUUUAAAUUGUACAUUUUGAGUGUCUAUUUCUGACUGAUGUCCUUUGUAUAUUUGCCCUGCAGUUAGUUCUUGGUUCUUGAAGGUUACGUAAUAGCGUAUAUAUUUUUUAAAUUAUUAAUAGUAUUGUUUAUGUUGUUAAUGCGACUGAAAUUUUACGUUAAAUGCCUUAAAUAAAUAUAU
RNA transcript from Poeciliopsis prolifica (blackstripe livebearer), 3963 nucleotides. It is a transcript of the gene named pyridine nucleotide-disulphide oxidoreductase domain 1, with no coding region annotated. The record is from RefSeq and is a predicted model, not a curated record. The transcript is spliced from 14 exons. NCBI's taxonomy places the organism in Eukaryota, Metazoa, Chordata, Actinopteri, Cyprinodontiformes, Poeciliidae.